GGUCAGUGAUGAGAAGUAAAAGGUCUGACUGCACUGAGAAAUCACAUUCCCUCUUGCGGCCUUCACAGCUCCCAGCAGCCCAUCAUUUCUUACCCAGGCACGAUUAAGACAUGCUGUCCUUGGGAUGGUGGAGCCGCUGACAGCUGGGGACGUGUUCAGUGUGCGCUCCCACAAGGAGGAGGGAAGGACAUGCUGGGCUGCUGUCCAACAGAACCUUUCCAGAGGAGCUUGGAGUGGAGUGCCACAGGAAUGUGGUGGUGCGUGAUCUCAAGUUUUCAAGCUGAGACC
Molecule: small nucleolar RNA, 288 nt
Filed under: Phascolarctos cinereus (koala)
Lineage: Eukaryota; Metazoa; Chordata; Mammalia; Diprotodontia; Phascolarctidae
Description: Small Cajal body specific RNA 6 (ENSPCIG00000010536.2)
Rfam family: Small Cajal body specific RNA 6
About the family: U88 is small Cajal body specific RNA (scaRNA). scaRNAs are a novel class of small nuclear RNAs which localise to the Cajal bodies. U88 is found associated with both fibrillarin and Gar1p and co-localises with coilin in Cajal bodies.
Source: Rfam by way of RNAcentral